Molecule: long non-coding RNA, 335 nt
Organism: Rhopalosiphum padi (bird cherry-oat aphid)
Lineage: Eukaryota; Metazoa; Arthropoda; Insecta; Hemiptera; Aphididae
Exons: 3
Source: RefSeq, a predicted model, not a curated record
GUUAUACAAAAAUAUUCAUAAUUACCAAUUGGAUAAUGGAAUAAUGAUCUAAUAUUUUCUUCUUGAGUAUGGAGCCAAAAUGAGCUUAUUUCAUUAUAACUCCCUGUUGGACAAUACAUCUGCAACAAACCUAUCAUAAAGCUAGUUGACCAUCAAAACCUUUCACCUGAAAAUCUUCUACAUGACUACUGAAAAAUUACAAACAUAAAAAUGUGAUCCAAAAGCGGCCGAUAGUCCCGCGGCAGCGCCUGCUGCCAUCAUGUCUCUCCUUUCUCGAUCAUUUUGUAAAGGUCCAAUAAUUUUCCGACUAGGACCAUUUCUAAAACCUUUCCACC